UACGGAGGGGGCUAGCGUUGUUCGGAAUUACUGGGCGUAAAGCGCACGUAGGCGGCUUUGUAAGUUAGAGGUGAAAGCCCAGGGCUCAACCCUGGAAUUGCCUUUAAGACUGCAUCGCUUGAAUCAUGGAGAGGUGAGUGGAAUUCCGAGUGUAGAGGUGAAAUUCGUAGAUAUUCGGAGGAACACCAGUGGCGAAGGCGGCUCACUGGCCCGAUACUGACGCUGAGGUGCGAAAGCGUGGGGAGCAAACAGGAUUAGAAACCCCAGUAGUCC
RNAcentral lists this ribosomal RNA (273 nucleotides) under uncultured bacterium. RNAcentral's name for it is "partial 16S ribosomal RNA". It matches the Rfam family "Bacterial small subunit ribosomal RNA", at positions 524 to 796 of the family's 1533-position model. The record is from RNAcentral.